Molecule: ribosomal RNA, 1420 nt
Filed under: Streptococcus thermophilus
Lineage: Bacteria; Bacillati; Bacillota; Bacilli; Lactobacillales; Streptococcaceae
Description: bacterial SSU rRNA
Rfam family: Bacterial small subunit ribosomal RNA
Source: RNAcentral
ACAUGCAAGUAGAACGCUGAAGAGAGGAGCUUGCUCUUCUUGGAUGAGUUGCGAACGGGUGAGUAACGCGUAGGUAACCUGCCUUGUAGCGGGGGAUAACUAUUGGAAACGAUAGCUAAUACCGCAUAACAAUGGAUGACACAUGUCAUUUAUUUGAAAGGGGCAAUUGCUCCACUACAAGAUGGACCUGCGUUGUAUUAGCUAGUAGGUGAGGUAAUGGCUCACCUAGGCGACGAUACAUAGCCGACCUGAGAGGGUGAUCGGCCACACUGGGACUGAGACACGGCCCAGACUCCUACGGGAGGCAGCAGUAGGGAAUCUUCGGCAAUGGGGGCAACCCUGACCGAGCAACGCCGCGUGAGUGAAGAAGGUUUUCGGAUCGUAAAGCUCUGUUGUAAGUCAAGAACGGGUGUGAGAGUGGAAAGUUCACACUGUGACGGUAGCUUACCAGAAAGGGACGGCUAACUACGUGCCAGCAGCCGCGGUAAUACGUAGGUCCCGAGCGUUGUCCGGAUUUAUUGGGCGUAAAGCGAGCGCAGGCGGUUUGAUAAGUCUGAAGUUAAAGGCUGUGGCUCAACCAUAGUUCGCUUUGGAAACUGUCAAACUUGAGUGCAGAAGGGGAGAGUGGAAUUCCAUGUGUAGCGGUGAAAUGCGUAGAUAUAUGGAGGAACACCGGUGGCGAAAGCGGCUCUCUGGUCUGUAACUGACGCUGAGGCUCGAAAGCGUGGGGAGCGAACAGGAUUAGAUACCCUGGUAGUCCACGCCGUAAACGAUGAGUGCUAGGUGUUGGAUCCUUUCCGGGAUUCAGUGCCGCAGCUAACGCAUUAAGCACUCCGCCUGGGGAGUACGACCGCAAGGUUGAAACUCAAAGGAAUUGACGGGGGCCCGCACAAGCGGUGGAGCAUGUGGUUUAAUUCGAAGCAACGCGAAGAACCUUACCAGGUCUUGACAUCCCGAUGCUAUUUCUAGAGAUAGAAAGUUACUUCGGUACAUCGGUGACAGGUGGUGCAUGGUUGUCGUCAGCUCGUGUCGUGAGAUGUUGGGUUAAGUCCCGCAACGAGCGCAACCCCUAUUGUUAGUUGCCAUCAUUCAGUUGGGCACUCUAGCGAGACUGCCGGUAAUAAACCGGAGGAAGGUGGGGAUGACGUCAAAUCAUCAUGCCCCUUAUGACCUGGGCUACACACGUGCUACAAUGGUUGGUACAACGAGUUGCGAGUCGGUGACGGCGAGCUAAUCUCUUAAAGCCAAUCUCAGUUCGGAUUGUAGGCUGCAACUCGCCUACAUGAAGUCGGAAUCGCUAGUAAUCGCGGAUCAGCACGCCGCGGUGAAUACGUUCCCGGGCCUUGUACACACCGCCCGUCACACCACGAGAGUUUGUAACACCCGAAGUCGGUGAGGUAACCUUUGGAGCCAGCCGCCU